UGGGGAAUAUUGCACAAUGGGCGCAAGCCUGAUGCAGCCAUGCCGCGUGUAUGAAGAAGGCCUUCGGGUUGUAAAGUACUUUCAGCGGGGAGGAAGGGAGUAAAGUUAAUACCUUUGCUCAUUGACGUUACCCGCAGAAGAAGCACCGGCUAACUCCGUGCCAGCAGCCGCGGUAAUACGGAGGGUGCAAGCGUUACUCGGAAUUACUGGGCGUAAAGCGCACGCAGGCGGUUUGUUAAGUCAGAUGUGAAAUCCCCGGGCUCAACCUGGGAACUGCAUCUGAUACUGGCAAGCUUGAGUCUCGUAGAGGGGGGUAGAAUUCCAGGUGUAGCGGUGAAAUGCGUAGAGAUCUGGAGGAAUACCGGUGGCGAAGGCGGCCCCCUGGACGAAGACUGACGCUCAGGUGCGAAAGCGUGGGGAGCAAACA
Molecule: ribosomal RNA, 427 nt
Filed under: uncultured bacterium
Lineage: Bacteria
Description: partial 16S ribosomal RNA
Rfam family: Bacterial small subunit ribosomal RNA
Source: RNAcentral